Molecule: small nucleolar RNA, 110 nt
Organism: Acomys russatus (golden spiny mouse)
Lineage: Eukaryota; Metazoa; Chordata; Mammalia; Rodentia; Muridae
Product: small nucleolar RNA U13
Exons: 1
Source: RefSeq, a predicted model, not a curated record
AUCCUUUGAGGUUCCUAAGCACGCUGAUUGGGUUUUCAUUCUAUUGUGAGGUGUGCUUCCUCCCGACGCCCCGAUGCCCCGUUACAAUCCUGAACAUUACUCGGCUGAUG